GCGCAGCAGUCGAGAAACUUUACAAUGCGGGAAACCGCGAUAAGGGGACACCGAGUGCCAGCAUACUAUGUUGGCUGUCCACAUGUGUAAAUAGCAUGUGUUAGCAAGGGCCGGGCAAGACCGGUGCCAGCCGCCGCGGUAACACCGGCGGCCCGAGUGGUAAUCACUAUUAUUGGGUCUAAAGGGUCCGUAGCCGGUUUGAUUA
This 205-nucleotide ribosomal RNA is filed under the name uncultured microorganism. Its description in RNAcentral is "partial 16S ribosomal RNA". It matches the Rfam family "Archaeal small subunit ribosomal RNA", at positions 330 to 536 of the family's 1478-position model. The record is from RNAcentral.